Molecule: long non-coding RNA, 787 nt
Filed under: Zea mays
Lineage: Eukaryota; Viridiplantae; Streptophyta; Magnoliopsida; Poales; Poaceae
Description: long non-coding RNA NONZMAT002068
Source: RNAcentral
CAGGCUUCUGUCGCCUCGCCUGUGCGGUACUAGUACGCUGCGUGCUUGCGUGGGACGUUGAUCUCUCCGUCUGCUUUAGCCAGCCCAAUAGACGUUGCCGCAAUGUUAUACUACCACGGUAGACUCCUCACAGCCGCACAGCAAAACAAUUUUAAACCCGUCCCCCUUACGCGUAACAGCGUACUACCCGUCAUCAGCCAUCGGCACGGCGCCCCCUGCUAGCGUCUCUUGUCUUGUCCUACGACGGCCCCACCACCCUACUGUCGCUCCGUCUCUCCCCUCCGGCCCUCCUCCAGUGGCCGCAGCGUCCCUCCACUUCUCCCCCAGCACCGUCUCUCUCCUCCUGCACAGGUACGCAGCGUAGGUGGAGUUGGGGCGGAUGAGAUCUGGCCGCGGAUUCCACCGUCAGUGGGCUAGCGCGACCGAGAUCCGGUCGCGGGGCUGGCGCGGUGCUCAGCCUGCGGUUCGGCGAGGACGGUUGUGGGGCGAGGCCACCGCAGCGACGGCACCGAACACCACGCUCGAUGAACGCAGGAGAGAAGAUUCAGGCGUAUUCUUGUCUUUUCGCUAUCUUCUUGGUACGUGUGUCUCCAGCUAGAAGUACAGUGGAAGUUCUCGUGUAAAAGUUAUGGGUCUAUGUUUAAAGAAUACAGUAUCUUUUUACGUUUAGUUUAUGUAUCUUCUUUUUACGUUUAGUUUAUGUUCUAUGUGACAAGAAAUUAAAUACAGAGAGAGUGCUGCUACCUAUGUACAUGAAACGAGCAUAUAUGUUGAAACCAAGGUGGUA